GAUGAACGCUGGCGGCGUGCCUAAUGCAUGCAAGUCGAGCGAACAGAUGAGGAGCUUGCUCCUCUGACGUUAGCGGCGGACGGGUGAGUAACACGUGGAUAACCUACCUAUAAGACUGGGAUGACUUCGGGAAACCGGAGCUAAUACCGGAUAAUAUAUUGAACCGCAUGGUUCAAUAGUGAAAGACGGUUUUGCUGUCACUUAUAGAUGGAUCCGCGCCGCAUUAGCUAGUUGGUAAGGUAACGGCUUACCAAGGCAACGAUGCGUAGCCGACCUGAGAGGGUGAUCGGCCACACUGGAACUGAGACACGGUCCAGACUCCUACGGGAGGCAGCAGUAGGGAAUCUUCCGCAAUGGGCGAAAGCCUGACGGAGCAACGCCGCGUGAGUGAUGAAGGUCUUCGGAUCGUAAAACUCUGUUAUUAGGGAAGAACAAAUGUGUAAGUAACUAUGCACGUCUUGACGGCACCUAAUCAGAAAGCCACGGCUAACUACGUG
This 497-nucleotide ribosomal RNA is filed under the name uncultured bacterium. RNAcentral describes it as "partial 16S ribosomal RNA". It matches the Rfam family "Bacterial small subunit ribosomal RNA", at positions 28 to 507 of the family's 1533-position model. The record is from RNAcentral.